UUAGUUUUAGUGAUACCUCUAUUCGGGAGACCUCUUCUUUCUUAUUUGAUUUUAAAGAUAUGUUGAAAAUUGUCAUACAUGUACAAUUCAGGAUAUACCCGGUUUCUAUGAAGUUAAACUUAAGGUAAAAUAUUUCGAAAGCAGUAAUAAUUGGAAAUUUCGAUUUUUAAUUGGUGGUCUGACACUUUGAGGUUGAAAGAUCAAGGCCGUGUUAUCACUUUUGAAUUCUAUUCUGUUGCAAGCAGUGAAUACAAUGUUUCUAAAUACGUCAUAAGUCAAAUGCUUAUUGACAGACUAACAUGGGCGGUGUUAUUCUUUAAAGAACUUACUUUUCAACAGAUGAUGCCAGGAAAAUUCGGCACAUAUAAUUAUAAAUAUUCAAGACUCACUUAUAACACUAGUUAAAGUUGAUAUAUACAAUUUGGUUAUAGUCAAUGGUUAUUGAAAUGUCAUAAAAAAAGAUAGAGAUAUCCCUACAAAAACAAAUCAAAACUAUUUAAUUUUGAAGCAAAAAUAGUAAGACUGUUUUACAUGGGUAGCUAAAAGACAUCUCCCCUUUCACAUAUUACACCGGCCUCGUACUACUGGAACAUGAUUAAGUCGCAAGUAUUUUUGCGUUAGACUUGACGAAAAGUCACAUUGAAAACCAGCAUACAAACUGACUUAAUGUACACCGGGAUAAGCUUUUUUCAAUCAUUCUCUGUAAAUGUACCUCACAAUUUAAUAUUUUUAGAAUCAUAUAAACGCGAACUGAUAUUUUGCCAACUUAAAAUAGCAAAGUAUCUCCAAAAUGCAAGCAAAUAUAAGAAAAUGAUAUACGUUUUGGCUCAGUGUAUAGAAAGAUUGUAAGUGCACGUAAAAAUACAUUUGUAGAAUUCUGAAGUAAACGCCCGUUUACUACUGACUAAACGGACACAGAGCAAACGCCCGUUUACUCGGGUAGACAUUAGAAAUUGCCAUUUUGACCGCUUUAAUGUAUUUAUGGUAAACGCGCGUCUACUAGUAAACGGGAAAUUUGAAGUUAACUAACGAAAUAUGUGCACGCGGCGUUAACUUGAAUUUUACUUUAUGUAAUGCUUGGUCUGCACCCAACUGUAUCAUAUAAGAUAAGAAUGCACAUGUUUCCAACGGAUAUGCCGAAUUGCUGACUUUAUUUCAAACAUAAAUACAUGGAAACCUAUGGGGAACAGCUCGAGUAUUUCAAAGAAAAAAAACAACAAAUUAUGCACAUUGGCAUCUGUGUAAAUUUAGUUAUCUG
This 1258-nucleotide long non-coding RNA is filed under the name Mytilus galloprovincialis (Mediterranean mussel). The record is from RNAcentral. Lineage: Eukaryota; Metazoa; Mollusca; Bivalvia; Mytilida; Mytilidae.